GGAGGGGUGCGUGAGUGGUUGAAACGGGUGGUCUUGAAAACCACUAGGGGCGCAAGCUCCUCGGGGGUUCGAAUCCCUCCCCCUCCGCCA
This 90-nucleotide transfer RNA is filed under the name Elusimicrobiota bacterium. Its description in RNAcentral is "Elusimicrobia bacterium (groundwater metagenome) tRNA-Ser". It matches the Rfam family "tRNA". From Rfam's summary of the family: Transfer RNA (tRNA) molecules are approximately 80 nucleotides in length. Their secondary structure includes four short double-helical elements and three loops (D, anti-codon, and T loops). The record is from RNAcentral. Lineage: Bacteria; Pseudomonadati; Elusimicrobiota.